GACGAACGCUGGCGGCGUGCUUAACACAUGCAAGUCGAACGGAAAGGCCCCUUUUGGGGUACUCGAGUGGCGAACGGGUGGGUAACACGUGCGUAACCUGCCCUUCCCUUCGGGAUAACUUCCGUAAACUGGGGCUAAUACCGGAUAGGAAUCCUUUCUGCAUGGAGGGGGUUGGAAAGCUUCUGGGGGUUUGGAUGGACUCGCGGGCUAUCAGCUUGUUUGUGGGGUAGUGGGUUACCAAGGCUUUGACUGGUAGCCGGCCUGGGAGGGCGACCGGCCACAUUGGGACUGAGAUACGGCCCAGACUCCUACGGGGGGCAGCAGUGGGGAAUAUUGCACAAAGGGCGGAAGGCUGAUGCAGCAACGCCGCGGGCGGGAUGACGGGCUUCGGGUUGGAAACCGCUUUCAGCAGGGGCGAAGCUUGUGGUGACGGUACCUGCAGAAGAAGCACCGGCUAACUACGUG
Molecule: ribosomal RNA, 465 nt
Filed under: uncultured bacterium
Lineage: Bacteria
Description: partial 16S ribosomal RNA
Rfam family: Bacterial small subunit ribosomal RNA
Source: RNAcentral